This 27-nucleotide small RNA is filed under the name Bombyx mori (domestic silkworm). RNAcentral's name for it is "ovarian small RNA-11658". The record is from RNAcentral. Lineage: Eukaryota; Metazoa; Arthropoda; Insecta; Lepidoptera; Bombycidae.
ACUCCAGAUAAAGACGAGGCUUUCUAC